GCUCAGAUUUGAAAUCUCGUUGCCAUAGAGGCAUCCGAAUUGUAAUCUGUAGAGGAGUAUUCGAGUAUGGCUUUGGCUUAAGUUCCUUGGAACAGGGCGUCAUAGAGGGUGAGAACCCCGUUUACGGCCUUUGUCUUAUGCUUAUGUGAAUCUCUUUCGAUGAGUCGAGUUGUUUGGGAAUGCAGCUCUAAAUGGGUGGUAAAUUCCAUCUAAAGCUAAAUACUGGCAAGAGACCGAUAGCGCACAAGUAGAGUGAUCGAAAGAUGAAAAGAACUCUGAACAGAGAGUUAAAUAGUACGUGAAAUUGUUGAAAGGGAAGCACUUACUACCAGACACACUUGUAGCUGAUCAGCCUCCAAUUUUUGGUGGUGCACUCAGUUGUAAGUGGGUCAGCAUCAGUUACAGCGGUGG
RNAcentral lists this ribosomal RNA (411 nucleotides) under Peziza sp. RNAcentral describes it as "partial large subunit ribosomal RNA". It matches the Rfam family "Eukaryotic large subunit ribosomal RNA", at positions 107 to 517 of the family's 3401-position model. Lineage: Eukaryota; Fungi; Ascomycota; Pezizomycetes; Pezizales; Pezizaceae. The record is from RNAcentral.